RNAcentral lists this ribosomal RNA (253 nucleotides) under uncultured bacterium. RNAcentral's name for it is "partial 16S ribosomal RNA". It matches the Rfam family "Bacterial small subunit ribosomal RNA", at positions 524 to 776 of the family's 1533-position model. The record is from RNAcentral.
UACGUAGGGUGCAAGCGUUGUCCGGAAUUAUUGGGCGUAAAGGGCUCGUAGGCGGUCCAUCGCGUCGGGAGUGAAAAGCUGGGGCUUAACCCCAGUCCUGCUUCCGAUACGGGUGGACUAGAGGUAGGUAGGGGAGAACGGAAUUCCUGGUGUAGCGGUGAAAUGCGCAGAUAUCAGGAGGAACACCGGUGGCGAAGGCGGAUCUCUGGGCCUUACCUGACGCUCAGGCGCGAAAGCUAGGGGAGCGAACUGG